RNAcentral lists this ribosomal RNA (292 nucleotides) under Paenibacillus sp. VT-400. Its description in RNAcentral is "partial 16S ribosomal RNA". It matches the Rfam family "Bacterial small subunit ribosomal RNA", at positions 1 to 277 of the family's 1533-position model. The record is from RNAcentral. Lineage: Bacteria; Bacillati; Bacillota; Bacilli; Caryophanales; Paenibacillaceae.
CUUUAUUGGAGAGUUUGAUCCUGGCUCAGGACGAACGCUGGCGGCAUGCCUAAUACAUGCAAGUCGAGCGGACUUGAAGAGAAGCUUGCUUCUCUGAAGGUUAGCGGCGGACGGGUGAGUAACACGUAGGCAACCUGCCCUCAAGUUUGGGACAACUACCGGAAACGGUAGCUAAUACCGAAUAAUUGUUUUCUUCGCCUGAAGGAAACUGGAAAGACGGAGUAAUCUGUCACUUGGGGAUGGGCCUGCGGCGCAUUAGCUAGUUGGUGAGGUAACGGCUCACCAAGGCGAC